UUUGUACAAAGAUUUAUAGAGGUUUGAUCGAUAUCUUGGUCUAAUCAUCUACCUGAGAAACAAACUUCUUGUGAAUUCCACUAUAAUAUUUGCUGAGCUAUUAUGAGGUUAUCUUGAAUCUUGAAUCUCCGAUCUGAUGAUGCUUGAGAUAUAUUUAGGACAAACAACAUCAUCAAAGACAACUGCAAACACAUAGAUCCUCAUAUAAAAAUUAGUCUUUUUAUAUUUUUUUAGCCAUUUGGAUACAUAUAAGGAUACAUGGCAGGUAGCGAUUU
This 275-nucleotide long non-coding RNA is filed under the name Lathyrus oleraceus (garden pea). Its description in RNAcentral is "Pisum sativum (pea) long non-coding RNA (PSAT_LNC036434)". The record is from RNAcentral. Lineage: Eukaryota; Viridiplantae; Streptophyta; Magnoliopsida; Fabales; Fabaceae.